Molecule: long non-coding RNA, 594 nt
Filed under: Prunus persica (peach)
Lineage: Eukaryota; Viridiplantae; Streptophyta; Magnoliopsida; Rosales; Rosaceae
Description: long non-coding RNA (PPER_LNC006618)
Source: RNAcentral
CUGAGAUGUCUGGAUUUUAGUGUCUUAAUUAAUCAAUCUGUCAUACUAGUUAUUGUUGGUAGGAUGAGUGGUGAUAAUAUAUUAUUUAAAAAGCAGAAAAGUCUAGCCCGCAUGCACAGUUGAGGAUGGCUGCAAUCAUGAAAUUCACUAGGUAGGCAGAUCUCUAGUAUUAUACCGAGCUCUGUAUAAUUUGUUUCGUUUGUGUUAGUUUAAUUCAUGGGUUUUUAUAUUUGCAGUUUAUGUUUUUGGUUUUCUUAUUGUAUGACGGAGCUCUUAUUAUGGUUCUAUCAGUAAUCCACUAUCACUUCAUAAUGCCACUGGUUUGGAUCAGAUGAGAUGUGUAGGCAUAUGCUACUGAGUACUGCUGUUCAACACUGCCAUGAGAAACAUGUCUAAAAUAGGUUUUAAUUGAGUAGAUGGUAAGUUUGUUGGACGGACUUCUUUUUAUGUAUUAGCUAUUCGUAUUUGCUCCACAGAGGAUUUACCUAGAUUUUAUUGUUAGAAUUUCUGAUAUUCUUGGUUUGCCAUUUCGGGUGGGGUAAGUGAACGAUUUGGAGGUGGUGGUUGAUUUUCUUAAGCCUUGCUGGGUGAAUC